UGUGACCCAAAAACCAAAUCUUCCCCAUUAAUAAAGAAUUCUUUUUUUGGGGUGGUGGUGGUGUUUGAGUCACA
Molecule: small nucleolar RNA, 74 nt
Organism: Suncus etruscus (white-toothed pygmy shrew)
Lineage: Eukaryota; Metazoa; Chordata; Mammalia; Eulipotyphla; Soricidae
Product: small nucleolar RNA SNORD86
Exons: 1
Source: RefSeq, a predicted model, not a curated record